UCCUACGGGAGGCAGCAGUGGGGAAUUUUGCGCAAUGGGGGAAACCCUGACGCAGCAACGCCGCGUGGAGGAUGAAGGUCUUCGGAUUGUAAACUCCUGUUGCCCGGGACGAUGAUGACGGUAGCGUGAGAAGAAGCCCCGGCUAACUUCGUGCCAGCAGCCGCGGUA
This 168-nucleotide ribosomal RNA is filed under the name uncultured Acidobacteriota bacterium. Its description in RNAcentral is "uncultured Acidobacteria bacterium partial 16S ribosomal RNA". It matches the Rfam family "Bacterial small subunit ribosomal RNA", at positions 337 to 522 of the family's 1533-position model. The record is from RNAcentral. Lineage: Bacteria; Pseudomonadati; Acidobacteriota.